GACGAACGCUGGCGGCGUGCCUAAUACAUGCAAGUCGAACGCUGCUUAAGAAGAAACUUCGGUUUUUUCUUAAGCGGAGUGGCGGACGGGUGAGUAACACGUGGGGAACCUAUCUAUCAGCGGGGGAUAACACUUGGAAACAGGUGCUAAUACCGCAUAUGGCUUUUUUUCACCUGAAAGAAAGCUCAAAGGCGCUUUACAGCGUCACUGAUGGCUGGUCCCGCGGUGCAUUAGCCAGUUGGUGAGGUAACGGCUCACCAAAGCAACGAUGCAUAGCCGACCUGAGAGGGUGAUCGGCCACACUGGGACUGAGACACGGCCCAGACUCCUACGGGAGGCAGCAGUAGGGAAUCUUCGGCAAUGGACGCAAGUCUGACCGAGCAACGCCGCGUGAGUGAAGAAGGUUUUCGGAUCGUAAAGCUCUGUUGUCAGCAAAGAACAGGAGAAAGAGGAAAUGCUUUUUCUAUGACGGUAGCUGACCAGAAAGCCACGGCUAACUACGUGCCAGCAGCCGCGGUAAUACGUAGGUGGCAAGCGUUGUCCGGAUUUAUUGGGCGUAAAGCGAGCGCAGGCGGUGAUUUAAGUCUGAUGUGAGAGCCCCCAGCUCAACUGGGGAGGGUCAUUGGAAACUGGAUCACUUGAGUGCAGAAGAGGAGAGUGGAAUUCCAUGUGUAGCGGUGAAAUGCGUAGAUAUAUGGAGGAACACCAGUGGCGAAGGCAGCUCUCUGGUCUGUAACUGACGCUGAGACUCGAAAGCGUGGGUAGCAAACAGGAUUAGAUACCCUGGUAGUCCACGCCGUAAACGAUGAGUGCUAAGUGUUGGAGGGUUUCCGCCCUUCAGUGCUGCAGUUAACGCAUUAAGCACUCCGCCUGGGGAGUACGACCGCAAGGUUGAAGCUCAAAGGAAUUGACGGGGGCCCGCACAAG
RNAcentral lists this ribosomal RNA (927 nucleotides) under uncultured bacterium. Its description in RNAcentral is "bacterial SSU rRNA". It matches the Rfam family "Bacterial small subunit ribosomal RNA", at positions 28 to 929 of the family's 1533-position model. The record is from RNAcentral.